RNAcentral lists this ribosomal RNA (1012 nucleotides) under uncultured bacterium. RNAcentral describes it as "bacterial SSU rRNA". It matches the Rfam family "Bacterial small subunit ribosomal RNA", at positions 356 to 1376 of the family's 1533-position model. The record is from RNAcentral.
GGGGAAUAUUGCACAAUGGGCGCAAGCCUGAUGCAGCGACGCCGCGUGCGGGAUGACGGCCUUCGGGUUGUAAACCGCUUUUGAUCGGGAGCAAGCCUUCGGGUGAGUGUACCUUUCGAAUAAGCACCGGCUAACUACGUGCCAGCAGCCGCGGUAAUACGUAGGGUGCAAGCGUUAUCCGGAAUUAUUGGGCGUAAAGGGCUCGUAGGCGGUUCGUCGCGUCCGGUGUGAAAGUCCAUCGCUUAACGGUGGAUCUGCGCCGGGUACGGGCGGGCUGGAGUGCGGUAGGGGAGACUGGAAUUCCCGGUGUAACGGUGGAAUGUGUAGAUAUCGGGAAGAACACCAAUGGCGAAGGCAGGUCUCUGGGCCGUUACUGACGCUGAGGAGCGAAAGCGUGGGGAGCGAACAGGAUUAGAUACCCUGGUAGUCCACGCCGUAAACGGUGGAUGCUGGAUGUGGGGCCCGUUCCACGGGUUCCGUGUCGGAGCUAACGCGUUAAGCAUCCCGCCUGGGGAGUACGGCCGCAAGGCUAAAACUCAAAGAAAUUGACGGGGGCCCGCACAAGCGGCGGAGCAUGCGGAUUAAUUCGAUGCAACGCGAAGAACCUUACCUGGGCUUGACAUGUUCCCGACAGCCGUAGAGAUGCGGCCUCCCUUCGGGGCGGGUUCACAGGUGGUGCAUGGUCGUCGUCAGCUCGUGUCGUGAGAUGUUGGGUUAAGUCCCGCAACGAGCGCAACCCUCGCCCUGUGUUGCCAGCACGUCGUGGUGGGAACUCACGGGGGACCGCCGGGGUCAACUCGGAGGAAGGUGGGGAUGACGUCAGAUCAUCAUGCCCCUUACGUCCAGGGCUUCACGCAUGCUACAAUGGCCGGUACAACGGGAUGCGACACGGCGACGUGGAGCGGAUCCCUGAAAACCGGUCUCAGUUCGGAUUGGAGUCUGCAACCCGACUCCAUGAAGGCGGAGUCGCUAGUAAUCGCGGAUCAGCAACGCCGCGGUGAAUGCGUUCCCG